RNAcentral lists this long non-coding RNA (2805 nucleotides) under Lactuca sativa (garden lettuce). RNAcentral describes it as "long non-coding RNA (LSAT_LNC008519)". The record is from RNAcentral. Lineage: Eukaryota; Viridiplantae; Streptophyta; Magnoliopsida; Asterales; Asteraceae.
AACGUUAAACCACCUCCACAACUUGAACGUCUCAGAUCAUUAUGAUUUUGUGGUUCGUGCUUAUUAUUUUACACAUGAGUUCUUCAGAUCUGGCUUUGUAUUCUUCAUGUCUUUGAUCUUCAAAAGAAAUUUGUUGUUUUUCGUCUGUGGAUGUGCAUGUUUAGACACUAUCAAAUCGGCACAAUCGAACAUUAUCAGAUAUGCGAUAUCCGACAAACUGUUACCUCGACCUGCCAUCUCCAGUGGUAUGUUGACAGAUUUAUGAUUCUAGUGACUAUCCUUGGUAAUUUUUGCUCAGGUUUGAUCUGAUUAAUUUCAGCUUUUUUUUCUUGACUCUAAUGGUGUUCCUACUCCAUAUUUGUCUAGAUCUGGUUAGAUCUAAGUGAAUUCGAGUUUCAACAACUAUAAUUUCUUAUCUUCGGUGUUAGUUUUGUGGUUUCGAUCCAUUCAUGGUGUUUCCUUGCGAAAUUGAGAAGUUUCAUGUGUUUUUCUUUUCUUUUCUUUUUUUUUUUUUUUCAGAUCAGGAGGAUAUCAUAGGUACACUCAUUUAAUAUUUUUGUUUACAUGUUUUUAGUAUCUUCUUUAAUUUCCACUCUUCCACACCUUGUGAAAACGAUUUUCUACUUGUUAUUUUGAGCAAAUCCUUCCCCAAUCCUGCUUGAUCUGUUAGUUUAUUUCAUGUCUUCAUUAUUGUGCUUUAGAUCUCUAUCAUAUAUGGUAGUUUACUCUUAAUUUGUCAAGUUUUUAGUGGAGGUUAUUAAGUUAUAAGUUGUGAAUACAUUAUACUUUUACAUAUUUGAUGUGGAUAUGUUUUGGAUCUUAAGCUUCAACUAUAAGUUGUGAAUACAUUAUACUUUUACAUAUAAUGAUGUCAUCUUGAAAUUCGACUUUGAUACAUCUCACAAUGCAUUUGUUAAAAUGACAGAAAAAAAUAAUGUUUUGUAUGUUUUGUAUUUAACUGUGAAUAUGUGUUUUAGACUAUGAGUAUUAUUUUAAGUUGUUUAUUUUAAAAUGUGAAUAUUAUUUUAACUUGUGAUUUUUUUUUAGUAAAAUUAAGUGUAAACUUUGAUAGAAUUGGGAGGGAGGAGGNAUAAUUAUAGAUAAAACAUAUGAAAAUGUCAUCUUGAAAUGGAACUUCAAUACAAUUCACAUGGUGUUCAUUAAAAUAAUUCAAAAAAUAAUGUUUUAUAUGUUUUGUAUUAAAUUGUGAAAGAUGUAUGAGUCAUUGUAUAAGUGUGAAUAUAUGUUUUAAAUUAGGAAUAUUGUUUGAAGUUGUGAUUUUAAAUUGUGAAAAUUAUUUUAGCUUGUGAUUUAUGAAAAUUAUUUUAGCAUGUGAUUUAAAAAAAAGAAAAAAUAAUUGUGAACUUAUAUAGAAUAGACAACAAAAGAUAAUUUCAAUAAAGCAUAUAAUAAUAUCAUCUUGAAAUUUGACUUUGAUACAACUCACAAAUGAUAGUUAAAUUUAUUGAAAAAGAAUGUUUUGUAUUUAUCUAUGAAUGGUGUAUGGAUCGCGGUAUUAAACUAUGAAUAUGUGUUUUAAAUUGUGAAUAUUUUAAGAUGUGAUUUUAAAAUGUGAAUAUUAUUUUACCAUUUGUUUGUUUUUUUGUUUUUUUUUUUUUUUUGUAAAAUUAUUUAUAAGCUUAGAUAGAAUAGGUAGUAAGAGUCUCAUAGAUCAUUUUAGAUAAAGCACAUGUAAAUGUCAUUUGAAAUUCAACUUUCAUGCAACUCACAAGAUAUUCAUUAAAAUAACUUUCAAAAGAAUGUUUUAUAUGUUUUAUAUAAAACAAUGAAUGAUGUAUGAGUCGUUGUAUUAAACAUUGAAUAUAUGUUUUAAAUUGUAAAUAUUAUUUUUAGCUUUUAUUUUAAAUUAUGAAUAUUAUUUUAACAUGUGAUUUAAAAAAGAAAUUAUUUUAACAUACUGAAAUUUGAUUUUGAUACAGUUCCUAAGGAUGUUUAUGUUAAAUAGAUUGAAAAAGAAUGUUUCAUAUGUUUUGUAUUUAACUAUGAAUGGUUUAUCAAUUGUUGUAUUAAACUAUAAAUACAUAUAUAAACUUUGAAUAUUGUUUUAAGUUGUGAUUUGAAACUGAUUAUAUUAACUGAACAUUUGAUUUUUUUUUGUAUAAUUAUUUGUGAACAAAUAUAGAAUGGGCAUAAAACCCCCAUAUCUUAAGGUGGUGGGAGGAGGUUGAAAUCAAUACUUAGUGGUGGCAACAUUAGGUAACAAUGGCAGUGGUUAUUGGAAUUGUUAGCGGUAUGCUGGAAUAAAAAUAGAAGUGGUGGUAUAUGUGGUUAGUGGUGACAAUGAUUUGUGGCGGUAUGUGGUAACUUAUGAUGACGAUGGUGGUGGUGAAAGUUCUAAAUUAGUGUAUAAUGUUUUUAUUAAUUUGUGAAUAAUUGAUAUGUUUGUCAAACUGUAACUGUAAAUAUGAUGUUUGAGUUGUGAAUUUUCUUCGCUGAAACAUGAAAAUGAUGUUUUGUCAUUUUUCAAUAAAAAAUCACAUAUUUUUUUUUAAUGAAAGUCUAAGAUAAGGAGUUCUUAUCUCUAAAAACAUAAAAUGACAAAAUCACCAUUAAUGAAAAAUUUCUAAAGUUUCUAAUUUUUUUAAUGUUUUUACAGAAUUACUAUUUCCAAAAAAUUAGAAUGACAAAAACAACCUUGAUGAAAAAAGGACAUCAAGUUCUUAACAUUUUUUGAAUUAAACUUAAAGACUAGCUGUGUUGUUAAUUUAAGGAAAAUUAGAAUGACAAAUACACUCUUAAUGAAAAAUUGCUCCUAGAGUUUCUAGUAUAUUUUUUCACUUUUUA